UACAGAGGGGGCAAGCGUUGUUCGGAAUUACUGGGCGUAAAGGGCGCGUAGGCGGCCCGCUAAGUCGAACGUGAAAUCCCCGAGCUCAACUCGGGAACUGCGUCCGAUACUGGCGGGCUUGAAUCCGGGAGAGGGAUGCGGAAUUCCAGGUGUAGCGGUGAAAUGCGUAGAUAUCAGGAGGAACGCCGGCGGCGAAAGCGACUCUCUGGCCUGUAACUGACGCUGAGGCGCGAAAGCUAGGGGAGCAAACGGG
Molecule: ribosomal RNA, 253 nt
Filed under: uncultured bacterium
Lineage: Bacteria
Description: partial 16S ribosomal RNA
Rfam family: Bacterial small subunit ribosomal RNA
Source: RNAcentral